AAUCACGUAUUUAUUGGAACUAGUUCAAUAUUAGGUGUAAUAAUAACGUAAUGUUUACUAAAUGAUGAAUACAUUUUAGAUUCUGAGUGAAAAGCGAUAGUUUUAUUACCUUCUGCCUGUAAAAAUCGUUUGAUUUGCAUCAAUUUACAGAACGGUUUCAAGUAGCAAAUUUUGUAUAAUAUCGGAAGAAGCCGAAAAAGAACGACAACAUUUUUAAGGAAUAAUAGGUUUUAUUUUAAUUCCUUUCGUUU
This is a non-coding RNA of Cinara cedri, 251 nucleotides long. NCBI's taxonomy places the organism in Eukaryota, Metazoa, Arthropoda, Insecta, Hemiptera, Aphididae. The record is from the annotation of a GenBank genome assembly.